RNAcentral lists this ribosomal RNA (274 nucleotides) under uncultured bacterium. RNAcentral describes it as "partial 16S ribosomal RNA". It matches the Rfam family "Bacterial small subunit ribosomal RNA", at positions 523 to 796 of the family's 1533-position model. The record is from RNAcentral.
AUACGGAGGGUGCAAGCGUUACUCGGAAUCACUGGGCGUAAAGCGCGCGCAGGCGGGCUGAUAAGUUGGAUGUGAAAGCCUACGGCUCAACCGUAGAACUGCAUCCAAAACUGUCAGUCUAGAGUCUGGGAGGGGAAGAUGGAAUUAGUUGUGUAGGGGUAAAAUCCGUAGAGAUAACUAGGAAUACCAAAAGCGAAGGCGAUCGUCUGGAACAGUACUGACGCUGAGGCGCGAAGGCGUGGGGAGCAAACGGGAUUAGAAACCCUAGUAGUCC